Molecule: ribosomal RNA, 264 nt
Filed under: Mycoplasma sp. 'ovine/caprine serogroup 11'
Lineage: Bacteria; Bacillati; Mycoplasmatota; Mollicutes; Mycoplasmatales; Mycoplasmataceae
Description: partial 16S ribosomal RNA
Rfam family: Bacterial small subunit ribosomal RNA
Source: RNAcentral
AGCGUUAUCCGGAAUUAUUGGGCGUAAAGCGUCUGUAGGUUGUUUGUUAAGUCUGGCGUUAAAUUUUGGGGCUCAACCCCAAACCGCGUUGGAUACUGGCAGACUAGAGUUAUGUAGAGGUUAGCGGAAUUCCUUGUGAAGCGGUGAAAUGCGUAGAUAUAAGGAAGAACACCAACAUGGCGAAGGCAGCUAACUGGACAUACACUGACACUGAGAGACGAAAGCGUGGGGAGCAAACAGGAUUAGAUACCCUGGUAGUCCACG